GUCAAGGAGACUUCAAAGAUGAGAAAUGAUUGCACUGGGCCUUAGAGAGGAAGUUCAGCAGAACAAGGUGGGAAGGGCACGAUAUCAGAGUAAGAGGCACUGAUGGUGAACAAAUAUAGAGACUGGAAUCCAGUGACGUCACACAGGCGCUCUGGAAGCCAGUGAUGCAGUAUCAGAAUCUGGGAACACAAUGAGGCAAUGUUUCAGCUGCUUGUGCAUUCUUCACCUCCCAUUGUCUCUGUCUCUCUCUUUCUCCUCUGCUUCCCCUCACCCCACAACCAAAGUCAAGAGCGCAGACCCCAUGAUCACCUGAUACUUCCAAGCAAGCAGGUGUUCUUUUCAGAAGCCAGAAGCUGAUAACCUGGGCUUUCUGAUCUAACCCCAGCCCAAAUUCAUUGCAAUGGAGGAAUUGGGGAGGAGAUUCUUCCUACUGAGAAGUGGGUGCCAACUCUCCCUUUCAAAUUUGUUCAUCAACAAACUAAAGGGGAUGCCAGAAAUGUCUGGAGCAAUGGAAGAACCACUGGAAUAAUGCUCCUGCCUGAUUGUAUCUACUUAACCCACUCUCCAAGAGCCAGAAUCAGAUUUCAACCGUAUGGAAUCAUCUACAAUGCAGCAGAUGGGUUUACAAGUCUCUUGGUCUCUUCAUGAAGAAGGCGCAGCAAUCGUGUCCCAAGUCCUUGAGGACUUCACAGGGUGUUCUAGUGUCCUGAGAAUAUACCUGCCUAAGGUUUCUCAUCUCUUAAAUAAGUAUAAUAAGAUUCCCCUCGUCUAUUGUGCAGAGAAAAUUUGUGAAGGAAAAAAUACCAUUCUGUGUGUCAAGCUGCUCUGAAAACAUAAAGUUGUCUGUGAUUAUGAAAGAUGAUGAUUAGUUAAACCUAAAUAAGGCUCUGGAAACUGAAAUAUCCCCACACCUUACGACCAGAGCAACAUCAUCACAUUUGAUUCUUCUCUUUCCUCACUCUCCACUCUGCCCAGCACACCAUUCUGACCUGCUGCUCCCUCUCCACUGCUCAAGUGCUCAGGAUUGCAUGGUGUCCUCAGCAACAUACAUUGGAAAACCAUUUUUAAAAAGGCACAAAUGGGCUGGGCACAGUGGUUCACGCCUGUAAUGCCAGCACUUUGGGAGGCCAAGGUGGGUGGAUCACCUGAGAUCAGGAGUUCGAGACCAGCCUGGCCAACAUGGAGAAACCCCAUCUCUACUAAAAAUACAAAAAUUAGGCCUGGCACAGUGGCUCACGCCUGUGAUCCCAACACUUUGGAAGGUCGAGGCAGGCUGAUCACAAGGUCAGGAGUUCGAGACCAGCCUGACCAACAUAGUGAUAUCCCAUCUCUACUAAAAAUACAAAAAAUUACAGGCGUGGUGGCAGAUGCCUGUAAUCCCGGCUACUCAGGAGGGUGAGGGAGGAGAAUCACUUGAACCGAGGAGGCGGAGCUUGCAGUGAGCCAAGAUCUCGCCACCGCACUCCAGCCUGGGUUACACAGUGAGACUCCAUCUCAAAAAAUAUAUAUAUAUAACAAUAAUAAUAAUAAUAAUAAUAAUAAAAGGCACAAAUGUAGCAAUCAUCUAUGCGGGGGCAGGGAAGACAAAUUUGAUUAAGGACAACCCUGCUCCCCCGGAAGUUAUAGUGCAGAGCAGCACUAUCGUUCUCACAGCGGGUGGGUGAUGGGGAUUUCAGGGAGUCCAUCCACCUGUGCUCACUGAGCCUAGGCCUGGACCAUUUGCCCAGCCAAUUCAUCCCUUUCAUCCUCCUUCCUUCAGGCAAGUGCUGCCUCCUCCAAAGCCUUUCUCAAAAGACCUUUGAGAUUCCCUAGACUGAACUCUAUGAAUGUUCUUUCCGUUUCCCCAGGAAUUUGGCUAUAGCUGGUAUUGGGUUCCUCAAACCAGCCCACCUGCGCUAUGGGAAUGUCAAAAUUGUCCUGGCAAGCUGAGGGGGCAUCCAGAGGUCACCCAGCUUUCCCCUGAAGCGUUGCUCAGAGGCCACUGUACCAUAAAAGGGAGUUCCCAUCCCACACUGGUUCUGAAAGCCCUGGUGUCCAGGCCCGUGUUGUGAUCUUUUCUCCUCUGCCUAGGGCGUAUCUGUUAGGGAGACUCCCAUGAGGGAGGGGAGCCGAGGGAAGAGGCUGAGUGAGGUGAAGAGAGUGUGUUUGUCCCUCCAGCUGUGCCAGGGUCUUCUCAGCCCUUCUCACAGAGGGCUGUCUGUGGACCUCUGUUCCUGGAAUCACCCCUCUGCACCACCCAAACUCCCUGAUUAUGAAUUACACAAUACAUCCCUAAUUCAAGCAUGCUGCACCGGUUUUCUGUAGUCACAUGAAAAUUAACUUACAGAAAUUCACUUUUAUUGAAUACCUACUGUGUGGUAGGCACUGUGGUGGGAUUCUGCCAUUCGAGAAUCUCAGACUAAGAUCAUCUGUUUCAACAAGCAUCGAUCAAGCACCCACAUUGCAGCUGGCACUCUGCUUGAUGGUGAGAUGAGUGUCAAGACCAGUUCCUUAUUUUACAGGGAAGGCCAUCAAGGUUGAAAGUGGAAAUUUCCCAAGGUCAGAGACAGAGUGGUAGAGCCAGUCCAUGCAUUCUGGUCUCCUGUCUCCUGUUCCAGUGCUCAUUCGUGACACUGCUGCUCUCCCUAACACUUCAUCCCACGAGAAUACUCUUGAGAAUAUUGUUCUUGGCUGUUCCAAAUAGAAAGAUCAUCUGUCCAUUAUUCAGGUGAUAUGGGCUGAGGUCUUGCCUCUUCUAGUCACUUGGAGAAAGUUCCAGAAGCAAAGACUAUGUACCUAAUAUUCCUUUAACUCUGUUUUCCUGGGGCCAUAUUUAACUGUGGGUGUUUUCUGUUUCAACUGGUGGCCUGUGGGAAAGAGGUAGUGCCUGGCAGGCUGGCCAAGGACACGGGGACUAAAGAACAAUGUUGGAAGGAGAUGGGGGCAGCGUGAGGGAGGAGGCGAAGACAUAUUGUGGGGGAGUCUUCACCCCAAUUGAAGUCACCUAAAAUCACUCCUUUGUAACUAGAAGACUAAGAAACACUUGUGAAAGCAGGUGAAAGCUGAAAGCACAUCUGUGUGUGUGUCGGGGGUAAGUGUGAGGUGUGGCCGAGAGGCUCAGCUGAAGGAAGUCUCGUAGGCUGGUCCCCAUAUCUAAAGCAAACACACACACAAAACAUUCUAGUGUGACUCCCUCUUCUGCAGGAUAUUCCUUCCCAGGGGCUCCGGACUGGAAAGGUCUUCUCUCAAGCCUAGGGAAAACAAGGAGUUUCUACUUUUUGCUCCUUGCCCCCAAACAGAGAGACAAUGGCCUUGUGUAUGCAAUGGCACUUUUGUCAAGAUGGAGCCGCACAGCUUCCAUGAGGCUGAGGUGAGGAAAAGUGCAUCUCUGCGAACGUGGCUCGGCUCCAGCUCCCUCCACUCGGUGCUCUGCCUGCCAAUUAGCGCAUCCGUCCUUCCCCACAGGUGGGGAAGUGGCCCGUACUGCUGUCUGGCUGCCUGGGGCCAGCACAGCCGGACUCUGACACCCCACCCAGGGAUGCCCUGCAGGGAUGGGGGACCCCUCAGGAGAAGAACACUUAGGUCCGGAACCAAUUCUUCCUCCUCCUCCUUGCAAGAGGGAAGAGGGGGAAGACCAGGCUGGGGAUGGCAGAGAAACUCGGGGGCUGGUUUAAGGGAAACAGACUGAGCUGCUUAGAUCCUGCUGAGGCUGCCAGCAGCCCCAGAUGGCUCCGAACCUGCUGCUCUUGCUGAAAAUUGAUUUUGGAGGCAGUGAGGGGAGGAGGAGGGAUGGCAGGGGCUGCAGGGCAGGGGGCGGUGGUGGGAAGAGUUGCUGCAUGGAGGGUGGAAUUUAUAAGCCUUGAUAAAGACACUUAGUUGAAACUCUAGGGGCAGAGAUAACACCCUUAGCAGAAAGGGCGGGGGUCUCUCAGGAUUUCUGCUUCGAUGUGCUCUUUCCUUCUCACCUUGUUCCUUUUUCCUCAUUUGCCCUCCAGCCCCAAUUAUCAAUCAUGGAGGGUGCCCCUGGAUGCUCCUUCUGGGCUGUGGGGUGGCAUGGGCUGCGCAGGCCUGGAUUUGAGAAGCACUCCGACCAAGGCACCUCCCUCACCCUCACCCAGGGAAGUGACUCAGGAGUUGAGGAAGACUGAGCUCUACACCCCUCACGAUGCAGAGGCCUUGUAUCCAACUCUAUAGUCAUAAUUUUUAUUUAUUUUCCUUGGAGAUAGUGCCAAUAUUUAUGUAAGCAUUAGUCCCCAUGGCACCUGUAUCUGCCUUUGUCUCAUCCCAGUUAUUCAUUCAUUCCCCAGACACUAAUCAGGCACCCCUGAGGGCCAGGCACUGCACCAAGCACUGGGGAAAAAAUGUCCAUGACCAGAUAUCAUCCUCUCUGAGCUCCUAGAACAGGAAGAAAAAUUGCACAAGUUCAGCAAAAAGUCAUCAUAUUUAGUCCACAAGAGCAGGAGAAACAAGGAAGGGUCAGAGAAGGGAGAGCUCACUCCCACAGAAUCUUUAUAAGGGAAAGUUGCAGAGCAAAGGCUAUAUUUGAUUUCAGACUUGAUGGAUGGCAGGAUGGGAGGGAAGCUGUGGAUCUAGAAGGGUAGGCAGGGGGCCUCUGCAGGCAGAGGUGCCAUAGAACCCUGGGGUGGAGCAGAGGGGAGGGAGGAGGUGCCUUCUGGUCUCAGUGGGAACAAUGGGAGAUAUGAUGGACAAGCCAGCCAUCACACACCAAGCCUGGUAUAGCCAUGCCUGGCGUUUGCACUCCUGUCCCUAGACAACGAGACCUCACCAAGGCACCAGGCAGGGCUCACAGGAGGGGCUCGGACCCUGUUGGCAGAACAGUAAGCUGGAGGACAAGCACAAAGCUGUGGGAGAGUCCAGGGGAGCUGUAUAUGAGGAGCAAAACCUCGGUAUUGUUGGUGGGAAUAGAAACAACUUGAUCUCCAUAAAGGAGAGCCAAGGCAGGUAAGAGUUUCCUCCUCUUAGAAGCAAGGGAGGCUUGAAGACCAAGAGAACAUGAUAGGCUUCCCAACAAUCUGACUAGGAAGGCUGGGUAUUCAGCCUUCUCCUAUGAAUACAUUUCCGGCUCCCAGUGGCUCCUCCAAACAGCCAAGAAGAGAGCUGUGCAUGACCCUCAGCAUCUAUAUUACCGAGGAGGAGAUAGCUUCAGAGACCGAACCUACCAGGCCCACCCAGGUCAGUAGAGGUGGAGUCAGGAAGAGAACUUGGGUUCUAGACCCUGCUCUCCCCAUUACAGAUGUCCCUAGGAAUCACACACAACACCAGGGCAGUUGUCAGCACUGAGAUGGAAAGGUGACACCUGCAUUCUCCAAAGACCCAUUAGGCUAUGUGCCCCAUGGCAGCAAGGACCAUCCCACCCUGUUUCUGCCUCUCCCAAAGCAUUGGGAGCUCAACAGUCUGCCUUGCUGAUAUGGCUCUCCCUUUCUCUCAUUUGAUUCUUGCCUGGACAGGGACUCAUCAUUAAAAAGGAACAAAGAGGCCCUAACCCAACCUCAAAGAGAAGGAAAAGGACCUUUUUCUAAAUGGAAGAAUUCUUUUGUAAGAAACGAGGAAGAGUUAGAACAAGCAUCUGCAUAGCCUGGGAAGGGCCACUCUCUCCCAAGGCAUGCUGCCGCUUGCCUCUGAUGUCUGGACGCAAACAGCAGAUCCUCAAUCUGCUCCAGGGUGUUAGUGCCAACCCUGACCUAGUGAGCUUACUCCUUUCUCUUGGGCUUAGGCACAUCUUGAAAGGGGAGAUAGGGAUGACUCUGUGCAUCAGUCCCUCUGUCUGGUCCAGUGGACCUUGUCCUUAUGAUGGCCUGUGAAAAGAUCUUAGUUUCUGAGCAGUUAUGCAAGUUGCUCAAAGCCUUUGAGAUGUCCCCCAGAAGCUGAGUGUAGAAGCAGUUCCACCACCCAGCCUGCAUUAUCUACACAAGACAAUUAGGCAGGGCUCUGGGAACACUCUAAGGGCCAGGGAUUAGGGAGAGAAUCAACCUUGCAGCGCCACCGGUUUGGGGAGGUCAUCACCACACUGCCCUGCCUCUAUCUAAGGAGUGUCUGAGCCCUGGAAAAGCCGCACUCAUGGCUGUCCUGUGGAAUCCUGGAAAACACCAUCCAAACAGGAGAAAAAGCCUGAAAUGAGGGAGAGAGGUUUCCCUUCAGCCCUCUGAGGAAAGUAGAACACAGAAACCCUGGACUGAAGGGGCCCCCAAGUUGGCCUGUGCUAUCCCCAACUGCUCCUCUCUGGAUGCUUCCCACCCUUAGAUUAAACCUUGCUUAUUGACCCCAUAGAGGCUUCAUGUUCUCUCCCGGCUCCUCCCAAAUUGCCCACUGGAAUGUACGUGAUGAGGUCAUUUGUAGUAAGCUACAACUUUUGUGGUUACCCCUGGCAGGGCUAUUUAUACCAUGAUAGGAAAUAAAGUCUGUGUAGAACACACUAGUGCUGGUGAUCUCUUUGGGGAAACAGGGGUCAAGGAGGUUGCUCCAAGAGCAUGACAGAGUGGGAAGAGGACAGAUGUGAGAGUGAGAGGCUUUGGUUAUCAACUGGCUCUGCAGUUAACUUGUUGGCUGGCCUGAGAAAAUCUCCUAAAUGCUUGGGCCUCCAUUUCCUCCUUUGUGAAAUAACGUUAAAGUCCCAACUUCCCAACAUGGUUCAGGAUGAAAAUACGCAAAGUGCAUUAAGCAUUGUUAUAGACAGACUGUUUAUGUUCUACCCCAUUCAUAUGUUAAAUCCUAAUGCUCAGUGUGAUGGUAUUUGGAGGUAAGACCUUCAGUGAAGCCGUCCUAACAGGGUUAACAAGAAUUCUGGACAGGGCUGGGCACGGUGGCUCAUGCCUGUAAUCCCAACACUUUGGAAGGCCAAGACAGGCGAAUCGCUUGAGUCCAGGAGCUUGAGACCAGCCUGGACAACAUGGCAAAAUUGCAUCUCUACAUAUGAAACAAACCUGCAUGUUGUGCACAUGUACCCUAGAACUUAAAGUAUAAUAAAAUAAUAAUAAAAAAAACCCACAAAAAUUGGUCAGAAAUGGUGGUGCAUGCCUGUAGGUCUCAGCUAAUUGGGAGGCUGAGACGAGAGCUGGAGGCGGAGGUUGCAGUGAGCUGUAAUGGUGCCACUGCACUCCAGCCUGGGUGACAGAGAGAGAUCCCAUCUCAAAAAGAAAAAAAAGAUUCUGGACAGAAAUAUAAUUAAGCAUUAAUCAGGCUGCCCUUUGACCCACUUCCUUGUGAUAGAAAGUCACAUAGCACUAGAUACUGACCAUUUGCAUUCCCAUUGUUUCUGUAGAUAGGAUUUCUGAUAUUAGAAUCACAGGGCUUUUAAGAAUUUCUGACAUUAGAAUCACAAGGCUUUUAAGAAUUGCAAGUAGAUCCUGAAUUCCAGCAGAACGGGUGAUGCCAUCCAAUGUGAAGACCUCCACAGAAUGAAAUCAGCGUGAGACUACAGUUUCUUCAUCUCCCUCUUCCAUGAUUUCACCCUCUGUACUUUGACCAAUUGAUAUGGUUUGGCUGUGUCCCCACCCAAAUCUCAUCUUGAAUUCCCACAUAUUGUGGGAGGGACUCUGUGGGAGGUAAUUGAAUCAUUGAAUCACAGGGGCAGGUCUUUCUCAUGCUGUUCUCGUGAUAGUGAGUAAGUUUCAAGAGAUCUGAUGGUUAUUAUAAGGGGGAGUAUUCCUGCACAAGCUCUCUUUGUUUGCUGCCAUCCAUGUAAGACAUGACUUGCUCCUCCUUGUCUUCCUCCAUGAUUGUGAGGCUUCCUCAGCCACAUGGAACUCCAAUUAAACCUCUUUCUUUUGCAUAUUGCCCAGUCUCAGGUAUGUCUUUAUCAGCAGUGUGAAAACAGACUAAUACACCCAUCAACUGUCUUUGUACUUUGGCCCACUCCAAAAUCCUUAAAAUCCUAGCUCUAAAUUCCUUGGGAGAAAGAUUUGAGGUCUUCUCCCAUCUCUUCAUCCCUCCCUGUGAUUAAACCUCUUUCUCUGCUGCAACCUAGUGUCUUGGUUUGUUGACUUGCCAUGCACAUCAGGCAACAGACCCAUUACGAUUGCAUUCGGAGUUGAUUAGGACAUGAGGGGAAUCCUCAUGAUGAGAUUAGUGCCCUCAUCAAAGAGGCCCCAGAGAGCUCCGUUGCCCCUUCUGCCACGUGAGGACAGUGAGAAGACAGCCUUUUAGGAACUAGGAAACAGGCCCUUACCAGACACCAAAUCUGCCGGUACCUCGAUCAGGGACUUCCCAGUUUCCAGAACUGUAAGAAAUAGAUGUCUUUUGUUUAUAAGGUAUUCAAUCUACAGUAUUUUGUUACAGCAGCCCAAGCUGACCAAGACAAGCACAUAGCCCACCACUGUGUCUGGGAAGUCAGAAUUACAAAUGGAUCUAUGUGCUCAUUCCUUCCUUCAUUCCUUUACUCAACUGCUCACAAAAUCGCUCCUGAGGCCCCUUUUUCAUCCACUUGUAGGCCAUCCUUGAAUCAAAGCCCCAGGCCUUUGCAUGCAUAAAACUCCAUGUCUUGAGUCAGCACUUCGCACCCAUCUCUUUAGGAAAGCAGAAAGGCCAGCCGUCAGAGACAGAGUUUUCCAGAGGACUGACUGGAAGGGGUGGGGGCCUGAAAGGAGAGAGUCUUAAGCACCAGCUUAAUCUCAUUUAGGUCUUGUCUCUGGGCGGCUGAGGAGGCUGUUUUUAGCUUCUUCCAAAUGAGCUUCCUGCUAAGUUUCCCCUGAGACCUGGCACUGGCUCUACUCACACUUCCAGCUUGGGGAAGACAAAGAUCCAGGAAGGGCUGGGCAGCAGGUGCCCUGGAACCCCCGGAAGGCUGUGGCAGAGGGUGAGGCCAGGGUAGCAUUGUGGGGAAAGGAAGGAGACUGGGCUGGGUCUGGCUUGAAUCCCAGCUUUGACACUCGCCCAGCCCUGGGUGGCCUUGAGAAGACUUACUGGGCCUCUUUGGUUUUCUCAUUUUAAAAUAUCAAUCACAGCAUGCCUAAAGUGCC
RNAcentral lists this long non-coding RNA (8954 nucleotides) under Homo sapiens (human). Its description in RNAcentral is "HSALNT0366318". Lineage: Eukaryota; Metazoa; Chordata; Mammalia; Primates; Hominidae. The record is from RNAcentral.